RNAcentral lists this ribosomal RNA (1290 nucleotides) under Escherichia coli. RNAcentral describes it as "partial 23S ribosomal RNA". It matches the Rfam family "Bacterial large subunit ribosomal RNA", at positions 1672 to 2925 of the family's 2925-position model. Lineage: Bacteria; Pseudomonadati; Pseudomonadota; Gammaproteobacteria; Enterobacterales; Enterobacteriaceae. The record is from RNAcentral.
UAGAGAAUACCAAGGCGCUUGAGAGAACUCGGGUGAAGGAACUAGGCAAAAUGGUGCCGUAACUUCGGGAGAAGGCACGCUGAUAUGUAGGUGAAGCGACUUGCUCGUGGAGCUGAAAUCAGUCGAAGAUACCAGCUGGCUGCAACUGUUUAUUAAAAACACAGCACUGUGCAAACACGAAAGUGGACGUAUACGGUGUGACGCCUGCCCGGUGCCGGAAGGUUAAUUGAUGGGGUUAGCGGUAACGCGAAGCUCUUGAUCGAAGCCCCGGUAAACGGCGGCCGUAACUAUAACGGUCCUAAGGUAGCGAAAUUCCUUGUCGGGUAAGUUCCGACCUGCACGAAUGGCGUAAUGAUGGCCAGGCUGUCUCCACCCGAGACUCAGUGAAAUUGAACUCGCUGUGAAGAUGCAGUGUACCCGCGGCAAGACGGAAAGACCCCGUGAACCUUUACUAUAGCUUGACACUGAACAUUGAGCCUUGAUGUGUAGGAUAGGUGGGAGGCUUUGAAGUGUGGACGCCAGUCUGCAUGGAGCCGACCUUGAAAUACCACCCUUUAAUGUUUGAUGUUCUAACGUUGGCCCGUAAUCCGGGUUGCGGACAGUGUCUGGUGGGUAGUUUGACUGGGGCGGUCUCCUCCUAAAGAGUAACGGAGGAGCACGAAGGUUGGCUAAUCCUGGUCGGACAUCAGGAGGUUAGUGCAAUGGCAUAAGCCAGCUUGACUGCGAGCGUGACGGCGCGAGCAGGUGCGAAAGCAGGUCAUAGUGAUCCGGUGGUUCUGAAUGGAAGGGCCAUCGCUCAACGGAUAAAAGGUACUCCGGGGAUAACAGGCUGAUACCGCCCAAGAGUUCAUAUCGACGGCGGUGUUUGGCACCUCGAUGUCGGCUCAUCACAUCCUGGGGCUGAAGUAGGUCCCAAGGGUAUGGCUGUUCGCCAUUUAAAGUGGUACGCGAGCUGGGUUUAGAACGUCGUGAGACAGUUCGGUCCCUAUCUGCCGUGGGCGCUGGAGAACUGAGGGGGGCUGCUCCUAGUACGAGAGGACCGGAGUGGACGCAUCACUGGUGUUCGGGUUGUCAUGCCAAUGGCACUGCCCGGUAGCUAAAUGCGGAAGAGAUAAGUGCUGAAAGCAUCUAAGCACGAAACUUGCCCCGAGAUGAGUUCUCCCUGACUCCUUGAGGGUCCUGAAGGAACGUUGAAGACGACGACGUUGAUAGGCCGGGUGUGUAAGCGCAGCGAUGCGUUGAGCUAACCGGUACUAAUGAACCGUGAGGCUUAACCUUACAACGCCGAAG